UACGGAGGAUGCAAGCGUUAUCCGGAAUGAUUGGGCGUAAAGCGUCCGCAGGUGGCUGUGUAAGUCUGCUGUUAAAGAGUCAUGCUCAACAUGAGAAGAGCAGUGGAAACUACACGGCUAGAGUGCGUUCGGGGCAGAGGGAAUUCCUGGUGUAGCGGUGAAAUGCGUAGAGAUCAGGAAGAACACCGGUGGCGAAAGCGCUCUGCUAGGCCGCAACUGACACUGAGGGACGAAAGCUAGGGGAGCGAAUGGG
RNAcentral lists this ribosomal RNA (253 nucleotides) under uncultured bacterium. RNAcentral's name for it is "partial 16S ribosomal RNA". It matches the Rfam family "Bacterial small subunit ribosomal RNA", at positions 524 to 776 of the family's 1533-position model. The record is from RNAcentral.